RNAcentral lists this ribosomal RNA (497 nucleotides) under uncultured bacterium. Its description in RNAcentral is "partial 16S ribosomal RNA". It matches the Rfam family "Bacterial small subunit ribosomal RNA", at positions 28 to 507 of the family's 1533-position model. The record is from RNAcentral.
GAUGAACGCUGGCGGCGUGCCUAAUACAUGCAAGUCGAGCGAACAGACGAGGAGCUUGCUCCUCUGACGUUAGCGGCGGACGGGUGAGUAACACGUGGAUAACCUACCUAUAAGACUGGGAUAACUUCGGGAAACCGGAGCUAAUACCGGAUAAUAUAUUGAACCGCAUGGUUCAAUAGUGAAAGACGGUUUUGCUGCCACUUAUAGAUGGAUCCGCGCCGCAUUAGCUAGUUGGUAAGGUAACGGCUUACCAAGGCAACGAUGCGUAGCCGACCUGAGAGGGUGAUCGGCCACACUGGAACUGAGACACGGUCCAGACUCCUACGGGAGGCAGCAGUAGGGAAUCUUCCGCAAUGGGCGAAAGCCUGACGGAGCAACGCCGCGUGAGUGAUGAAGGUCUUCAGAUCGUAAAACUCUGUUAUUAGGGAAGAACAAAUGUGUAAGUAACUAUGCACGUCUUGACGGUACCUAAUCAGAAAGCCACGGCUAACUACGUG